This 400-nucleotide ribosomal RNA is filed under the name uncultured bacterium. RNAcentral describes it as "bacterial SSU rRNA". It matches the Rfam family "Bacterial small subunit ribosomal RNA", at positions 356 to 773 of the family's 1533-position model. The record is from RNAcentral.
GGGGAAUAUUGGACAAUGGGCGCAAGCCUGAUCCAGCCAUGCCGCGUGAGUGAUGAAGGCCUUAGGGUUGUAAAGCUCUUUCAGUAGGGAAGAUAAUGACGGUACCUACAGAAGAAGCCCCGGCUAACUUCGUGCCAGCAGCCGCGGUAAUACGAAGGGGGCUAGCGUUGUUCGGAUUUACUGGGCGUAAAGCGCACGUAGGCGGAUUGGUCAGUUAGAGGUGAAAUCCCGAAGCUCAACUUCGGAACUGCCUUUAAUACUGCCAGUCUAGAGUCCGGAAGAGGUAAGUGGAACUCCUAGUGUAGAGGUGGAAUUCGUAGAUAUUAGGAAGAACACCAGUGGCGAAGGCGGCUUACUGGUCCGGUACUGACGCUGAGGUGCGAAAGCGUGGGGAGCAAAC